Molecule: long non-coding RNA, 1131 nt
Filed under: Piliocolobus tephrosceles (Ugandan red Colobus)
Lineage: Eukaryota; Metazoa; Chordata; Mammalia; Primates; Cercopithecidae
Description: lncRNA (ENSPTEG00000004459.1)
Source: RNAcentral
AUGAAUUUUUUUAAUUUCUUUAUUUUUCCUAUUUUGUUCAUACAUAUAAAUAUUAUAUGUGCUAAAUUAUUAAAAGAUAUACUUGAAGAUAGGAGAAAUGAAUUAAAUAAUAAUGCUCAAUUUAUAAUAGAUGAGCUUAAUUUGGUAGAUAAGAAUGAAAAAGUGCUUGGAGACUCAUUUAGAGUAUAUAAAUAUUUUUUGUUAAAAAACAAAAAUGAGGUUAGAGCCAUUUUCAUUUAUGAUGAUCUAAAUAUUAAGGAAGCUUCUAAAUUGAAAAUAAAUAAAGAAGAACAUGAUACCGAUAUUUUAAAUGUAACAAAAAAUUUGGAUCGUAUAUAUUUAUUAGAUGAAUCGAGUACAUUCAGUGAAUUAAUGUUUAAAGAACGAAAAAUAUUUUCUUUGCAUAAAGAUUAUUCACUUACAAGUUAUAUUUUACUCACAUUCGUGUUUGAAAAAGAUGUUGAAGAAAUGGAGCCCUCGGAGAUAUUGUCUCUUUUAUUAAACAAUGAGCUACAUAUUAAAAAAAAAGAUGUAGAAGUUGUAAAAACUGAUGAACAUUUGGAGACUUAUGACAAUAGGGACAAUGGACAAAUUAAGCAACUACUUUCUAGCAAAAAACAGAAUCAUCUACAAUCUUUUGUUCAAUUUUUUGGUAUAACUACUCUGAUAAAAAAUUUCGUGUCUGCAAUACCAGGUGCGAUUUCUGCUGUAGCAUCAAUAUUUACCUCUGUAGAGAGUCCAUCACCAGAAAAAUUUUUAACUGAAAAGGUUUCGAAUCUUCCUGAUUAUAUAGCUAAGUUAGACAACAUACCAAUGCAGCUAACUAAGAAUAUUGAUAAACUUAAGCGAGUUGGUAAAGCUGUGUAUAAUGAAAUCGUAAAUGAUAAUCCUGUGGACGCUAGUGAACAAACUAGUGCUAUGUGCCACGUAGAUAGCGGAGAGGUGGAUGAUGAUGAUGAUGGUGGUGAUGAUGAUGAAGAAGAAGAAGAAGAAGAAGAAGAAGCAGAGGAAGAAGGAGAAGGAGAAGAAAAGGCAGAGGAAGAAGGAGAAGAAGAAGAAGAAGAAGAAGAAGAAGAAGAAGGUGAUGAAUAUUAUGGUGAAGAAGAUUAUAAAGAAUAUUAUGGUAAAUAG